RNAcentral lists this transfer RNA (90 nucleotides) under Candidatus Doudnabacteria bacterium RIFCSPHIGHO2_01_52_17. Its description in RNAcentral is "tRNA-Ser". It matches the Rfam family "tRNA". From Rfam's summary of the family: Transfer RNA (tRNA) molecules are approximately 80 nucleotides in length. RNAcentral also lists the same sequence under 1 other name. Lineage: Bacteria; Candidatus Doudnaibacteriota. The record is from RNAcentral.
GGAGGCGUGGCUGAGUGGUUGAAAGCGCCGCUCUCGAAAAGCGGUAUACUCGAAAGGGUAUCGGAGGUUCGAAUCCUCCCGCCUCCGCCA